ACGGGAGGCAGCAGUGAGGAAUAUUGGUCAAUGGGCGAGAGCCUGAACCAGCCAAGUAGCGUGAAGGAUGACGGCCCUACGGGUUGUAAACUUCUUUUGCCGGGGGAUAAAAAACGGGACGUGUCCCGUCUUGCAGGUACCCGUGCGAAUAAGGACCGGCUAAUUCCGUGCCAGCAGCCGCGGUAAUACGGAAGGUCCGGGCGUUAUCCGGAUUUAUUGGGUUUAAAGGGAGCGUAGGCGGGCCUUUAAGUCAGUGGUAAAAGCGUGUGGCUCAACCAUACCACGCCAUUGAAACUGGAGGCCUUGAGUGCACACAGGGAUGCUGGAAUUCGUCGUGUAGCGGUGAAAUGCUUAGAUAUGACGAAGAACUCCGAUCGCGAAGGCAGGUGUCCGGGGUGUAACUGACGCUGAGGCUCGAAAGUGCGGGUAUCAAACAGGAUUAGAUACCCUGGUA
This 454-nucleotide ribosomal RNA is filed under the name uncultured Alloprevotella sp. RNAcentral describes it as "bacterial SSU rRNA". It matches the Rfam family "Bacterial small subunit ribosomal RNA", at positions 341 to 792 of the family's 1533-position model. Lineage: Bacteria; Pseudomonadati; Bacteroidota; Bacteroidia; Bacteroidales; Prevotellaceae. The record is from RNAcentral.